Molecule: microRNA precursor, 89 nt
Filed under: Aedes aegypti (yellow fever mosquito)
Lineage: Eukaryota; Metazoa; Arthropoda; Insecta; Diptera; Culicidae
Description: microRNA aae-mir-11928 precursor
Source: miRBase by way of RNAcentral
UGCAAGAUACCCUACUUCGGAAGUAGGGCGCAUUAGAGCGCAUCCGGAUGCGAAUCGAAUGCACCACUUCCGAAGUUGGGUGUCUCGCA